GCGGAGGNAAANAAACCAACAGGGAUUGCCUCAGUAACGGCGANGUGAAGCGGCAACAGCUCAAAUUUGAAAUCUGGCCCCGUCGGGGUCCNAGUUGUAAUUUGUAGAGAGUGUUUCGGGUGAGACCACGGUCUAAGUCCAUUGGAACAUGGCGUCAUAGANGGGUGANNAAUCCCCGUAUGUGACUGUGGCUCGAGCCCAUGUGAAGCCUCUUCGACGAGUCGAGUUGUUUGGGAAUGCAGCUCAAAAUGGGUGGUAAAUUUCAUCUAAAGCUAAAUACUGGCUGGAGACCGAUAGCGCACAAGUAGAGUGAUCGAAAGAUGAAAAGCACUUUGGAAAGAGAGUCAAAAAGUACGUGAAAUUGUUGAAAGGGAAGCGCUUGCAACCAGACCUGUCCGUAGGUGAUCAGCCGCUGUUCUCAGCGGUGCACUCGCUCUGCGAUCAGGCCAGCAUCGGUUCCGGCGGUCGGAUAAAGGCCUUGGGAAUGUAGCUCCUCUCGGGGAGUCUUAUAGCCCUCGGUGCAAUGCGGCCAGCCGGGACCGAGGACCGCGCUUCGGCUAGGAUGCUGGCGUAAUGGUUGUAAGCGACCCGUCUUGAAACACGGACCAAGGAGUCUAACAUCAAUGCGAGUGUNNGGGUGUNNAACCCAUGCGCGGAAUGAAAGUGAACGGAGGUGAGAACCCGUNAGGGNNCAUCAUCNNCCGAUCCNNNUGUCUUCGGAUGGAUUUGAGUAUGAGCAUUGNUGUNGGGACCCGAAAGAUGGUNAACUNUGCCUGANNAGGGUGAAGCNNGAGNAAACUNUGGUGGAGGCUCGCAGCNNUUCUGACGUGCAAAUCGANCGUCAAAUUUGGGUAUAGGG
Molecule: ribosomal RNA, 859 nt
Filed under: Usnea glabrata
Lineage: Eukaryota; Fungi; Ascomycota; Lecanoromycetes; Lecanorales; Parmeliaceae
Description: partial 28S ribosomal RNA
Rfam family: Eukaryotic large subunit ribosomal RNA
Source: RNAcentral